UCUGGAGAUUCGGGCUAAGAACUAGAAGGAAGAGGUCCCUCUCCGAUGGGACAGGGGCCGGGAUACAAGUUGUGGCUCAAACACUGUAAAUCCAAGGAGCUUUUCCCCCGGCAAACUGAUUUAUGACCACAAGCCGGGCAGCUGCGGAACUGGUCAGACCGUAUAUGCCCACGAGUGGCAUUGCUGGAUCAUAUGGCAAUGGAGAAAGAAACGGCAAAGCAGGCUACUCUGUGAAACAUGAAACACUACCACCAUCUAGUGGGGAAAAUCCUGACUGUUCUAUAAGCAAAGCCUAAGUUUAAU
Molecule: long non-coding RNA, 303 nt
Organism: Hippopotamus amphibius kiboko
Lineage: Eukaryota; Metazoa; Chordata; Mammalia; Artiodactyla; Hippopotamidae
Exons: 3
Source: RefSeq, a predicted model, not a curated record